This 537-nucleotide small RNA is filed under the name Pongo abelii (Sumatran orangutan). RNAcentral's name for it is "retained intron". Lineage: Eukaryota; Metazoa; Chordata; Mammalia; Primates; Hominidae. The record is from RNAcentral.
UUGACUUCAAAGUUGGUUGGAAGAAGCUAAAGGAAGUGUUCAGCAUAGCUGGAACUGUGAAGCGGGCAGAUAUUAAAGAAGACAAAGAUGGCAAGAGCAGAGGAAUGGGCACUGUCACUUUUGAGCAAGCAAUUGAAGCAGUUCAAGCAAUUUCUAUGUUCAAUGGGCAGUUUUUAUUUGAUAGACCUAUGCAUGUGAAAAUGGAUGACAAGUCUGUUCCUCAUGAAGAGUACCGUUCACAUGAUGGUAAAACACCACAAUUACCACGUGGUCUUGGAGGCAUUGGGAUGGGACUUGGUCCAGGUGGACAGCCUAUUAGUGCCAGCCAGUUGAACAUAGGUGGAGUAAUGGGAAAUUUAGGUCCAGGUGGUAUGGGAAUGGAUGGUCCAGGUUUUGGAGGAAUGAAUAGAAUUGGAGGAGGUAUGUAUAAAGAUUUGUUUUUUUGUAUGUACCCAUCACCAUUUUUAAUAAACUAGAAACUGUGUUGAGAAUUCCAUGGAAAAAAAGUCAUGGUUUAUUGUUGGCUCAUGUUCUAAA